UUUAUGGAGAGUUUGAUCCUGGCUCAGGAUGAACGCUGGCGGCGUGCCUAAUACAUGCAAGUCGAGCGAACGGACGAGAAGCUUGCUUCUCUGAUGUUAGCGGCGGACGGGUGAGUAACACGUGGAUAACCUACCUAUAAGACUGGGAUAACUUCGGGAAACCGGAGCUAAUACCGGAUAAUAUUUUGAACCGCAUGGUUCAAAAGUGAAAGACGGUCUUGCUGUCACUUAUAGAUGGAUCCGCGCUGCAUUAGCUAGUUGGUAAGGUAACGGCUUACCAAGGCAACGAUGCAUAGCCGACCUGAGAGGGUGAUCGGCCACACUGGAACUGAGACACGGUCCAGACUCCUACGGGAGGCAGCAGUAGGGAAUCUUCCGCAAUGGGCGAAAGCCUGACGGAGCAACGCCGCGUGAGUGAUGAAGGUCUUCGGAUCGUAAAACUCUGUUAUUAGGGAAGAACAUAUGUGUAAGUAACUGUGCACAUCUUGACGGUACCUAAUCAGAAAGCCACGGCUAACUACGUGCCAGCAGCCGCGGUAAUACGUAGGUGGCAAGCGUUAUCCGGAAUUAUUGGGCGUAAAGCGCGCGUAGGCGGUUUUUUAAGUCUGAUGUGAAAGCCCACGGCUCAACCGUGGAGGGUCAUUGGAAACUGGAAAACUUGAGUGCAGAAGAGGAAAGUGGAAUUCCAUGUGUAGCGGUGAAAUGCGCAGAGAUAUGGAGGAACACCAGUGGCGAAGGCGACUUUCUGGUCUGUAACUGACGCUGAUGUGCGAAAGCGUGGGAUCAAACAGGAUUAGAUACCCUGGUAGUCCACGCCGUAAACGAUGAGUGCUAAGUGUUAGGGGGUUUCCGCCCCUUAGUGCUGCAGCUAACGCAUUAAGCACUCCGCCUGGGGAGUACGACCGCAAGGUUGAAACUCAAAGGAAUUGACGGGACCCGCACAAGCGGUGGAGCAUGUGGUUUAAUUCGAAGCAACGCGAAGAACCUUACCAAAUCUUGACAUCCUUUGACAACUCUAGAGAUAGAGCUUUCCCCUUCGGGGACAAAGUGACAGGUGGUGCAUGGUUGUCGUCAGCUCGUGUCGUGAGAUGUUGGGUUAAGUCCCGCAACGAGCGCAACCCUUAAGCUUAGUUGCCAUCAUUAAGUUGGGCACUCUAAGUUGACUGCCGGUGACAAACCGGAGGAAGGUGGGGAUGACGUCAAAUCAUCAUGCCCCUUAUGAUUUGGGCUACACACGUGCUACAAUGGACAAUACAAAGGGCAGCGAAACCGUGAGGUCAAGCAAAUCCCAUAAAGUUGUUCUCAGUUCGGAUUGUAGUCUGCAACUCGACUACAUGAAGCUGGAAUCGCUAGUAAUCGUAGAUCAGCAUGCUACGGUGAAUACGUUCCCGGGUCUUGUACACACCGCCCGUCACACCACGAGAGUUUGUAACACCCGAAGCCGGUGGAGUAACCUUUUAGGAGCUAGCCGUCGAAGGUGGGACAAAUGAUUGGGGUGAAGUCGUAACAAGGUAGCCGUAUCGGAAGGUGCGGCUGGAUCACCUCCUUUCU
This 1551-nucleotide ribosomal RNA is filed under the name Staphylococcus aureus. RNAcentral's name for it is "16S ribosomal RNA". It matches the Rfam family "Bacterial small subunit ribosomal RNA". Lineage: Bacteria; Bacillati; Bacillota; Bacilli; Caryophanales; Staphylococcaceae. The record is from RNAcentral.